RNAcentral lists this ribosomal RNA (117 nucleotides) under bacterium. The record is from RNAcentral.
CCCGGCAACCACAACGAAGGGGAAACACCCGUUCCCAUUCCGAACACGGAAGUUAAGCCCUUCAGUGCCUAUGGUACUGCUCCGGGAACGGAGUGGGAGAGUUGGUCGUUGCCGGGU